This 424-nucleotide ribosomal RNA is filed under the name uncultured bacterium. RNAcentral's name for it is "bacterial SSU rRNA". It matches the Rfam family "Bacterial small subunit ribosomal RNA", at positions 359 to 774 of the family's 1533-position model. The record is from RNAcentral.
GAAUAUUGGACAAUGGGGGGAACCCUGCUCCAGCCAUGCCGCGUGUGUGAAGAAGGCCUUUUGGUUGUAAAGCACUUUAGGCGAGGAGGAGGCUACUUAGAUUAAUACUCUAGGAUAGUGGACGUUACUCGCCGACUAAGCACCGGCUAAGUCUGUGCCCGCAGCCGCGGUAAUACCGAGGGUGCAAGCGUUAAUCGGAUUGACUGGGCGUAAAGCGCGCGUAGGUGGCCAAUUAAGUCAAAUGUGAAAUCCCCGAGCUUAACUUGGGAAUUGCAUUCGAUACUGGUUGGCUAGAGUAUGGGAGAGGAUGGUAGAAUUCCAGGUGUAGCGGUGAAAUGCGUAGAGAUCUGGAGGAAUACCGAUGGCGAAGGCAGCCAUCUGGCCUAAUACUGACACUGAGGUGCGAAAGCAUGGGGAGCAAACA